Molecule: ribosomal RNA, 406 nt
Filed under: uncultured bacterium
Lineage: Bacteria
Description: partial 16S ribosomal RNA
Rfam family: Bacterial small subunit ribosomal RNA
Source: RNAcentral
UGGGGAAUUUUGGACAAUGGGCGAAAGCCUGAUCCAGCGACGCCGCGUGGAGGAUGAAGGUCUUCGGAUUGUAAACUCCUUUUAGAGGGAACGAAAUAAUGACGGUACUCUCAGAAAAAGCCACGGCUAACUACGUGCCAGCAGCCGCGGUAAUACGUAGGUGGCUAGCGUUACUCGGAUUUACUAGGUGUAAAGCGCAUGUAGGCGGUUGGAUAAGUCUGCGGUGAAAUUUCCCGGCUCAACUGGGAAGGGCCCGUAGAAACUGUCCGGCUUGAGUGUGGGAGGGGUGGACGGAAUUCCAGGUGUAGCGGUGAAAUGCGUAGAUAUCUGGAGGAACACCGAUGGCGAAAGCGGUCCACUGGCCCAAUACUGACGCUCAGAUGCGAAAGCUAGGGUAGCAAACAGG